CAGAGGUCUCAAGCGUUGUUCGGAUUCAUUGGGCGUAAAGGGUGCGUAGGCGGCGCGGUAAGUCGGGUGUGAAAUCUCGGAGCUUAACUCCGAAACUGCAUUCGAUACUGCCGUGCUUGAGGACUGGAGAGGAGACUGGAAUUUACGGUGUAGCGGUGAAAUGCGUAGAUAUCGUAAGGAAGACCAGUGGCGAAGGCGGGUCUCUGGACAGUUCCUGACGCUGAGACACGAAGGCCAGGGGAGCAAACGGGAUUAGAUACCCCGGUAGUCCUGGCAGUAAACGGUGCACGUUUGGUGUGGGAGGAUUCGACCCCUUCUGCGCCGGAGCUAACGCGUUAAACGUGCCGCCUGGGGAGUACGGUCGCAAGAUUA
This 372-nucleotide ribosomal RNA is filed under the name uncultured organism. RNAcentral's name for it is "bacterial SSU rRNA". It matches the Rfam family "Bacterial small subunit ribosomal RNA", at positions 526 to 896 of the family's 1533-position model. The record is from RNAcentral.